RNAcentral lists this ribosomal RNA (450 nucleotides) under uncultured bacterium. RNAcentral's name for it is "partial 16S ribosomal RNA". It matches the Rfam family "Bacterial small subunit ribosomal RNA", at positions 354 to 796 of the family's 1533-position model. The record is from RNAcentral.
GUUAGGAAUAUUGGACAAUGGGCGCAAGCCUGAUCCAGCCAUGCCGCGUGAGUGAUGAAGGCCUUCGGGUUGUAAACUGCUUUUGUACGGAACGAAACGGUCCUGGUUAAUACCUGGGGCUAAUGACGGUACCGUAAGAAUAAGCACCGGCUAACUACGUGCCAGCAGCCGCGGUAAUACGUAGGGUGCGAGCGUUAAUCGGAAUUACUGGGCGUAAAGCGUGCGCAGGCGGUGCUGUAAGACAGGCGUGAAAUCCCCGGGCUCAACCUGGGAAUUGCGCUUGUGACUGCAGUGCUGGAGUACGGCAGAGGGGGAUGGAAUUCCGCGUGUAGCAGUGAAAUGCGUAGAUAUGCGGAGGAACACCGAUGGCGAAGGCAGUCCCCUGGGCCUGUACUGACGCUCAUGCACGAAAGCGUGGGGAGCAAACAGGAUUAGAAACCCGUGUAGUCC